UGUUACAACAAAUUAUUAUAUAUUUACAACUCGAGAAGUCGGGUGCGGACGCGUCUCCAUUAGAUCGAAUUUCAGUCUUGAUUUAAGUCGGAACUUGUCAUUAUUAAGGCAGAUCAUGGUGAAAGUGCACAUUUUAUAUUGUGGAGGGUGAGGGUACAAGUCCAAGGCCCUCAAUCUGAAGGCCGUGUUGGAAAAGAAGUUGCCUGGCAAGAUAGAAAUGUCUAUGGAAGCAACUCCUGGUACCACCGGCUGGUUUGAGGUGACUGUUGGCGAUAAGCUUGUUCAUUCCAAGAAG
Molecule: long non-coding RNA, 295 nt
Organism: Dreissena polymorpha
Lineage: Eukaryota; Metazoa; Mollusca; Bivalvia; Myida; Dreissenidae
Exons: 4
Source: RefSeq, a predicted model, not a curated record